UUUCGGCGGGGACGAUGGUGACGUACCCGCAGAAGAANCCCCGGNUAAUUNGUGCCAGCANCCGCGGUAAUACGAAGGGGGCUAGCGUUGUUNGGAAUUACUGGGCGUAAAGGGCGCGUAGGCGGCCCGCACANUCAGGCGUGAAANUCNUGGGNUCAACCCAGGGACUGCGCUUGANACAUGCGGGCUAGAGGGCGGAAGAGGUNUCGCGGAAUUCCCAGUGUAGAGGUGAAAUUCGUAGAUAUUGGGAAGAACACCGGUGGCGAAGGCGGCGAGCUGNCCCGUUACUGACGCUGAGGCGCGACAGCGUGGGGAGCAAACAGGAUUAGAUACCCUGGUAGUCCACNCCCGUAAACGAUGUGCGCUGGAUGUCGGGCGGCAUAGCCGCUCGGUGUCGAAGCCAACGNGAUAAGCGCACCGC
RNAcentral lists this ribosomal RNA (421 nucleotides) under uncultured bacterium #0319-6M1. RNAcentral's name for it is "partial 16S ribosomal RNA". It matches the Rfam family "Bacterial small subunit ribosomal RNA", at positions 434 to 872 of the family's 1533-position model. The record is from RNAcentral. Lineage: Bacteria; Pseudomonadati; Pseudomonadota; Alphaproteobacteria.